UACGUAGGAGGCAAGCGUUGUCCGGAAUCACUGGGCGUAAAGCGCGUGUAGGCGGAUCGCUAAGUCUGUGGUGAAGGCGCCUGGCUUAACCGGGCGAGGUCCAUGGAAACUAGCGGUCUGGAGGCCGGUAGAGGGGGGUGGAAUUCCGGGUGUAGCGGUGAAAUGCGUAGAUAUCUGGAGGACCACCGGUGGCGAAGGCGGCAUCCUGGACCGACACUGACGCUGAGGAGCGAAAGCCAGGGGAGCAAACGGG
Molecule: ribosomal RNA, 253 nt
Filed under: uncultured bacterium
Lineage: Bacteria
Description: partial 16S ribosomal RNA
Rfam family: Bacterial small subunit ribosomal RNA
Source: RNAcentral